RNAcentral lists this long non-coding RNA (483 nucleotides) under Trifolium pratense (red clover). RNAcentral's name for it is "long non-coding RNA (TPRA_LNC010600)". The record is from RNAcentral. Lineage: Eukaryota; Viridiplantae; Streptophyta; Magnoliopsida; Fabales; Fabaceae.
CAGUGUUAACCCAACAAAGAAGAGAACAAAAGAGUUAGUUUUGUAGAGUAAUGAGAGAGUGAUAAGGCACAAACACAACACAACACAUGGAAAAAGCAGAAAAAGAGUUAGAGAGAAGGAGCAAGUUUCUAAACAGUUUGAUACAGAACAAGAAAAAAUCCAUAAAACAACCACAACAACAAGAACAAGAGAAGAAGGUCAGUCACACACUACUUUCUUUGAAAUUUUUAAUUUUUGUUUAUAAAAUCUGUUUCUGGGUUGUGAUUUUUGUUGAAUCCAUGAAUGUUGAAAAUUGUUAUGUCUUGGUUGGAACUUGGAACUGAACCAAACACACAUAUUAGCUCAUAUUUUAUGAGCUAAUAUGUGUGUUUAAUAUUGAGUUUGUCUAAUAUCCUUUUUAUUCUGCUAUUCUCCUUAUUCUUCAAAAUAUUUUGAUUUUAAUUUCACUUUUUUCUUAUGGUUAUUUGAUAUGCAUGAUUUAGG